RNAcentral lists this transfer RNA (74 nucleotides) under Araneus ventricosus. It matches the Rfam family "tRNA". From Rfam's summary of the family: Transfer RNA (tRNA) molecules are approximately 80 nucleotides in length. Their secondary structure includes four short double-helical elements and three loops (D, anti-codon, and T loops). Further hydrogen bonds mediate the characteristic L-shaped molecular structure. tRNAs have two regions of fundamental functional importance: the anti-codon, which is responsible for specific mRNA codon recognition, and the 3' end, to which the tRNAs corresponding amino acid is attached (by aminoacyl-tRNA synthetases). tRNAs cope with the degeneracy of the genetic code in two manners: having more than one tRNA (with a specific anti-codon) for a particular amino acid; and 'wobble' base-pairing, i.e. permitting non-standard base-pairing at the 3rd anti-codon position. Lineage: Eukaryota; Metazoa; Arthropoda; Arachnida; Araneae; Araneidae. The record is from Rfam by way of RNAcentral.
GCCAUCGUGUCGCAAUCGGCUAGCGCGUUCGGCUGUUAACCGAAAUGUUGGUGCUUCGAGCCCAUCCAAUUGCG